Molecule: transfer RNA, 97 nt
Filed under: Lentinula raphanica
Lineage: Eukaryota; Fungi; Basidiomycota; Agaricomycetes; Agaricales; Omphalotaceae
Description: tRNA-Arg
Rfam family: tRNA
About the family: Transfer RNA (tRNA) molecules are approximately 80 nucleotides in length. Their secondary structure includes four short double-helical elements and three loops (D, anti-codon, and T loops).
Source: RNAcentral
GUUCACUUAGCUUAAUGGUUAGAGCGCUUGAGUUCUAUUUACUUCAAUGCCCAUGCGUUCUACUCAAGUGAUGCGAGUUCGAAUCCCGCAGUGCACA